GCCUUCCUUCUUUCCUCCUCCAAAGCAGCCUUCAGAUCCGUCGAAGUUUGUUCCUCCUUCUGAAGUGCCUCUUGGAGACUCGUGACUUCAGCGAUCUUCUUCUUAAGAUGGGCAGCCUCAGUCUGGCAACCUUCCUCCGCCUGGGCUGCUUCCUUCUUUGCAUUUUUCAUCACCUCGAUGUUGGUGAUAAGCUGGUAUCCAAUCUACAAGAGC
Molecule: long non-coding RNA, 213 nt
Filed under: Elaeis guineensis (African oil palm)
Lineage: Eukaryota; Viridiplantae; Streptophyta; Magnoliopsida; Arecales; Arecaceae
Description: long non-coding RNA (EGUI_LNC071615)
Source: RNAcentral